RNAcentral lists this ribosomal RNA (255 nucleotides) under uncultured bacterium. Its description in RNAcentral is "partial 16S ribosomal RNA". It matches the Rfam family "Bacterial small subunit ribosomal RNA", at positions 99 to 354 of the family's 1533-position model. The record is from RNAcentral.
CGGACGGGUGAGUAACGCGUGGAUAACCUGCCGUAUACUGGGGGAUAACACUUAGAAAUAGGUGCUAAUACCGCAUAAGCGCACAGUCUCGCAUGAGACGGUGUGAAAACCUCCGGUGGUAUACGAUGGAUCCGCGUCUGAUUAGCUUGUUGGCGGGGUAACAGCCCACCAAGGCGACGAUCAGUAGCCGGCCUGAGAGGGUGAACGGCCACAUUGGGACUGAGACACGGCCCAAACUCCUACGGAAGGCAGCAG